RNAcentral lists this signal recognition particle RNA (195 nucleotides) under Ciona intestinalis (vase tunicate). RNAcentral describes it as "Metazoan signal recognition particle RNA". It matches the Rfam family "Metazoan signal recognition particle RNA", at positions 74 to 269 of the family's 299-position model. From Rfam's summary of the family: The signal recognition particle (SRP) is a universally conserved ribonucleoprotein. It is involved in the co-translational targeting of proteins to membranes. Lineage: Eukaryota; Metazoa; Chordata; Ascidiacea; Phlebobranchia; Cionidae. The record is from Rfam by way of RNAcentral.
GCCCUGUGGCGCUCUGUCCUAUGUCGAUCGGGCGUCCGCGCUAAGCUCGGCGUCAAUAUGGACAUCUCAGGGUAGCCUGAGGUGGCCAGGUUGUCUAAGGAGGAACGAACCGGGCGAGGCCCGAAAGGGAGCAGCCAAAAGUUCCCACGUUGAUCAGUAGCGGGAUAGCGCCUGUGAAUAGGAAGAGUGUUACAG